GCACCGUCUUCCCAAGACCCAUCUGGACCGGCCAAAUCAACACACAGCGGAGGGGGAGAAAAACAAGUCAAUCGGGCACCGACUCUAUGGAUGGAUACUGUCUAAAUAAUGGAAAGUCAGCUAUCAGGACUACAGGUCACUGGUGAUGCAGGUCUCAUUUUUAAAUUAUACUGGACCCGGUGUCUCCCCUCAGAUUACAGGCUCAGCAGUGCUCUUAACUGUCACAUUGAUGCCAAUUGACUGAGGUAGCUGUCCACACGGUGCGGCGAGAGCCAAUUGACUCCUGACCCACCCGUGCAACAAAGCAGUGCCUCCCAGUGUUCCUGAAUCAAUAUGGCCGCUCCGCAUCACAGCAGCACCGCUCAGAUUGGCUCCCCCUGCGCUGACCUUCCUGAGAACCCGAGUGUACAUCGACUGGUCGGGUUAGGAAACGGGCAAGUCCCGGCCCGUUCCUGCAGCUAAUGCUCGACACAGCUAAACACUUGCGGACUUGAGGGCAACUGGGAAACUUCCCGUGGACUGGUAAUUGUUUACAGAGAUACAACCUGGGCUCUAUCUGACCUCCUAAAUGUAGAAUAUAUUCACACGUACUCAUCACUUUUUACUCACCUCUUGAGCCAGUUUUUCUUUUACUUUAAAGCUUCAUUAGGCAAAUUAUCUAUGUAAAAAUGUCAUCUUAUUAGACUAAAUCACAAACUAUUGGUACAAUGGAGAGGAAUGUAUUAUACAAUAGAUUUGUUCUGUUUGCCCAGAUGAUUUUCACUUCAUUAUCAGAAGGGGAAAAAGCAAAACAAAGAAGUGACCAAAAGAACUUCUUAUCUCUUCAAUAUCAUUUAGUACUGCAGCACACUGGGUGGGUUGGAGUACAGAAAGGCAUUUUAUCUAUUUAAAGAUACCCUGUGAAAUGUUUUUUGUUAUGUCUACAUUCACUGUUUCCCACCUAAAUGCAUUGUGGGUAUCCUUGAGGCCUAAUAAACGUGUUAA
Thunnus maccoyii (southern bluefin tuna) is the source of this 984-nucleotide long non-coding RNA. RefSeq lists it as uncharacterized. The transcript has 4 exons. NCBI's taxonomy places the organism in Eukaryota, Metazoa, Chordata, Actinopteri, Scombriformes, Scombridae. The record is from RefSeq and is a predicted model, not a curated record.